UGGCUCAGGACGAACGCUGGCGGCGUGCCUAAUACAUGCAAGUCGAACGAACUCUGGUAUUGAUUGGUGCUUGCAUCAUGAUUUACAUUUGAGUGAGUGGCGAACUGGUGAGUAACACGUGGGAAACCUGCCCAGAAGCGGGGGAUAACACCUGGAAACAGAUGCUAAUACCGCAUAACAACUUGGACCGCAUGGUCCGAGUUUGAAAGAUGGCUUCGGCUAUCACUUUUGGAUGGUCCCGCGGCGUAUUAGCUAGAUGGUGGGGUAACGGCUCACCAUGGCAAUGAUACGUAGCCGACCUGAGAGGGUAAUCGGCCACAUUGGGACUGAGACACGGCCCAAACUCCUACGGGAGGCAGCAGUAGGGAAUCUUCCACAAUGGACGAAAGUCUGAUGGAGCAACGCCGCGUGAGUGAAGAAGGGUUUCGGCUCGUAAAACUCUGUUGUUAAAGAAGAACAUAUCUGAGAGUAACUGUUCAGGUAUUGACGGUAUUUAACCAGAAAGCCACGGCUAACUACGUGCCAGCAGCCGCGGUAAUACGUAGGUGGCAAGCGUUGUCCGGAUUUAUUGGGCGUAAAGCGAGCGCAGGCGGUUUUUUAAGUCUGAUGUGAAAGCCUUCGGCUCAACCGAAGAAGUGCAUCGGAAACUGGGAAACUKRRGYRCAGAAGAGGACAGUGGAACUCCAUGUGUAGCGGUGAAAUGCGUAGAUAUAUGGAAGAACACCAGUGGCGAAGGCGGCUGUCUGGUCUGUAACUGACGCUGAGGCUCGAAAGUAUGGGUAGCAAACAGGAUUAGAUACCCUGGUAGUCCAUACCGUAAACGAUGAAUGCUAAGUGUUGGAGGGUUUCCGCCCUUCAGUGCUGCAGCUAACGCAUUAAGCAUUCCGCCUGGGGAGUACGGCCGCAAGGCUGAAACUCAAAGGAAUUGACGGGGGCCCGCACAAGCGGUGGAGCAUGUGGUUUAAUUCGAAGCUACGCGAAGAACCUUACCAGGUCUUGACAUACUAUGCAAAUCUAAGAGAUUAGACGUUCCCUUCGGGGACAUGGAUACAGGUGGUGCAUGGUGUCGUCAGCUCGUGUCGUGAGAUGUUGGGUUAAGUCCCGCAACGAGCGCAACCCUUAUUAUCAGUUGCCAGCAUUAAGUUGGGCACUCUGGUGAGACUGCCGGUGACAAACCGGAGGAAGGUGGGGAUGACGUCAAAUCAUCAUGCCCCUUAUGACCUGGGCUACACACGUGCUACAAUGGAUGGUACAACGAGUUGCGAACUCGCGAGAGUAAGCUAAUCUCUUAAAGCCAUUCUCAGUUCGGAUUGUAGGCUGCAACUCGCCUACAUGAAGUCGGAAUCGCUAGUAAUCGCGGAUCAGCAUGCCGCGGUGAAUACGUUCCCGGGCCUUGUACACACCGCCCGUCACACCAUGAGAGUUUGUAACACCCAAAGUCGGUGGGGUAACCUUUUAGGAACCAGCCGCCUAAG
Molecule: ribosomal RNA, 1475 nt
Filed under: Lactiplantibacillus plantarum
Lineage: Bacteria; Bacillati; Bacillota; Bacilli; Lactobacillales; Lactobacillaceae
Description: Lactobacillus plantarum 16S ribosomal RNA
Rfam family: Bacterial small subunit ribosomal RNA
Source: RNAcentral